RNAcentral lists this unclassified non-coding RNA (240 nucleotides) under soil metagenome. RNAcentral describes it as "partial contains 5.8S ribosomal RNA, internal transcribed spacer 2, and large subunit ribosomal RNA". The record is from RNAcentral.
AACCAUAGAAACCUGCGGAGUACCUGCGGAAGGAUCAUUACCGAGUUUACAAACUCCCAAACCCUUUGUGAACCUUACCUAUCGUUGCUUCGGCGGGAUCGCCCCGGGCCGGCCCUUCACGGGGCCUCCGGAACCAGGCGCCCGCCGGAGAACCCAAACUCUUUGUUUUUAUGGUUUUCUCCUCUGAGUGGAUUAUAAACAAAUAAAUCAAAACUUUUAGCAAUGGAUCUCAGAUCGGAA